GUAAUCCCAGUGCUUGGGAGGCUGAGGUAGGAGGAAUGCUGUGAGUUUGAAGUCAGCAUGGGCUACGAAGUGAGUUGAAGACCAGCCUGAACUGCAUAGCAAGACCCUGUCUCAAAAAGACCAAAAAAAAAAAAAAAUUUUUUUCUAUGACACAGAGGAUGAAGAAUCCCAUAGUACAAGAUGAAUUUGAGGCUUAAACUUUGGCUUUGGAACACUUGUCUAUCCAGUCUCAGCAGACUAACAGACACUGCCCUCUGCAAAAAUAAUGUUGAGAGGUCAAAACCCCUAUCUGCAGGGUGUGGAAAAGUAUCAUCUAAAAUACUGUUUUCCCACUUCUUUCUUUGCAUAGAUAAUAUAUUGCGUCC
Molecule: long non-coding RNA, 365 nt
Filed under: Chinchilla lanigera (long-tailed chinchilla)
Lineage: Eukaryota; Metazoa; Chordata; Mammalia; Rodentia; Chinchillidae
Description: lncRNA (ENSCLAG00000023283.1)
Source: RNAcentral